RNAcentral lists this ribosomal RNA (747 nucleotides) under uncultured bacterium. RNAcentral's name for it is "bacterial SSU rRNA". It matches the Rfam family "Bacterial small subunit ribosomal RNA", at positions 59 to 819 of the family's 1533-position model. The record is from RNAcentral.
CAGUCGAACGGAGCUUAAAGAGCUUGCUUUUUAAGCUUAGUGGCGAACGGGUGAGUAACGCGUGAGUAACCUGCCCUAGAGUGGGGGACAACAGUUGGAAACGACUGCUAAUACCGCAUAAGCCCACGGUGCCGCAUGGCACUGAGGGAAAAGGAUUUAUUCGCUUUAGGAUGGACUCGCGUCCAAUUAGCUAGUUGGUGAGGUAACGGCCCACCAAGGCGACGAUUGGUAGCCGGACUGAGAGGUUGAACGGCCACAUUGGGACUGAGACACGGCCCAGACUCCUACGGGAGGCAGCAGUGGGGGAUAUUGCACAAUGGGGGAAACCCUGAUGCAGCGACGCCGCGUGGAGGAAGAAGGUUUUCGGAUUGUAAACUCCUGUCGUUAGGGACGAUAAUGACGGUACCUAACAAGAAAGCACCGGCUAACUACGUGCCAGCAGCCGCGGUGAAACGUAGGGCGCAAGCGUUGUCCGGAAUUACUGGGUGUAAAGGGAGCGCAGGCGGGAAGACAAGUUGGAAGUGAAAACCAUGGGCUCAACCCAUGAAUUGCUUUCAAAACUGUUUUUCUUGAGUAGUGCAGAGGUAGAUGGAAUUCCCGGUGUAGCGGUGGAAUGCGUAGAUAUCGGGAGGAACACCAGUGGCGAAGGCGGUCUACUGGGCACCAACUGACGCUGAGGCUCGAAAGCAUGGGUAGCAAACAGGAUUAGAUACCCUGGUAGUCCAUGCCGUAAACGAUGAUUACUAG